GUGUUCGUGUUGGUAGCACAUAUACUAAAACUAAAAUAAUUCACAGAAGAAUAGCAUGGCCCCUGCACAAGGAUGACAUGCAAAUUCGUGAAGUGUUCCAUAUUUUC
This 107-nucleotide small nuclear RNA is filed under the name Microcebus murinus (gray mouse lemur). Lineage: Eukaryota; Metazoa; Chordata; Mammalia; Primates; Cheirogaleidae. The record is from RNAcentral.